AUUGAACGCUGGCGGCAGGCCUAACACAUGCAAGUCGAGCGGAUGAAGGGAGCUUGCUCCUGGAUUCAGCGGCGGGCGGGUGAGUAAUGCCUAGGAAUCUGCCUGGUAGUGGGGGAUAACGUCCGGAAACGGGCGCUAAUACCGCAUACGUCCUGAGGGAGAAAGUGGGGGAUCUUCAGACCUCACGCUAUCAGAUGAGCCUAGGUCGGAUUAGCUAGUUGGUGGGGUAAAGGCCUACCAAGGCGACGAUCCGUAACUGGUCUGAGAGGAUGAUCAGUCACACUGGAACUGAGACACGGUCCAGACUCCUACGGGAGGCAGCAGUGGGGAAUAUUGGACAAUGGGCGAAAGCCUGAUCCAGCCAUGCCGCGUGUGUGAAGAAGAUCUUCGGAUUGUAAAGCACUUUAAGUUGGGAGGAAGGGCAGUAAGUUAAUACCUUGCUGUUUUGACGUUACCAACAGAAUAAGCACCGGCUAACUUCGUG
RNAcentral lists this ribosomal RNA (484 nucleotides) under uncultured bacterium. Its description in RNAcentral is "partial 16S ribosomal RNA". It matches the Rfam family "Bacterial small subunit ribosomal RNA", at positions 30 to 507 of the family's 1533-position model. The record is from RNAcentral.